Molecule: ribosomal RNA, 585 nt
Filed under: uncultured bacterium
Lineage: Bacteria
Description: bacterial SSU rRNA
Rfam family: Bacterial small subunit ribosomal RNA
Source: RNAcentral
CCUACGGGAGGCAGCAGUGAGGAAUUUUCCGCAAUGGGCGAAAGCCUGACGGAGCAAUACCGCGUGAGGGAUGAAGGAUUUUGGUCUGUAAACCUCUUUUCUCAAGAAAGGAGUUCUGACGGUACUUGAGGAAUAAGCAUCGGCUAACUCCGUGCCAGCAGCCGCGGUAAUACGGGGGAUGCAAGCGUUAUCCGGAAUGAUUGGGCGUAAAGCGCCUGUAGGUUGUUUAUUAAGUCCGUUGUUAAAGCCUAGGGCUUAACCCUAGAAAAGCAAUGGAAACUAGUAGACUAGAGUAUGGCAGGGGUAGAGGGAAUUUCUAGUGUAGCGGUGAAAUGCGUAGAUAUUAGAAAGAACACCGGUGGCGAAAGCGCUCUACUGGACCAUUACUGACACUCAGAGGCGAAAGCUAGGGUAGCAAAAGGGAUUAGAUACCUCUGUAGUCCUAGCCGUAAACGAUGGAUACUAGAUGUUGUGCAUUAUGUACAGUAUCGUAGCUAACGCGUUAAGUAUCCCGCCUGGGGAGUACGCUCGCAAGGGUGAAACUCAAAUGAAUUGNGCGNGNGAGUGCGAGNGACACGAGGAGNG